This is an RNA transcript of Papaver somniferum (opium poppy), 1376 nucleotides long. It is a transcript of the gene named serine/arginine-rich-splicing factor SR34-like, with no coding region annotated. The record is from RefSeq and is a predicted model, not a curated record. The transcript has 13 exons. NCBI's taxonomy places the organism in Eukaryota, Viridiplantae, Streptophyta, Magnoliopsida, Ranunculales, Papaveraceae.
CCCUCCCAUUGCAAAAGAAUCUCUUUCUUCCUCAGUCUCUCCCAAACUCAACGAAGAUGAGUAGCCGUGCAAGUCGAACUCUUUACGUUGGUAACUUACCUGGUGAUAUUCGUGAAAGAGAAGUUGAUGAUUUGUUUUACAAGUAUGGACCCAUUGUUGAAAUCGAUUUGAAGGUUCCACCAAGACCUCCAGGUUAUGCUUUUGUUGAGUUUGAAGAUGCUCGUGAUGCUGAAGAUGCUAUCCGUGGUCGCGAUGGAUACAACUUUGAUGGUCACCGAUUGAGGGUGGAGCUUGCACAUGGUGGAAGAGGACAAGCAUCGUCAGUGGAUAGGCGUAGCAGUUAUAAUGGUGGUGGGGGUGGUCGAGGAGGUGUAUCUAGGCACUCAGAUUACCGUGUCUUGGUAUCUGGAUUACCUUCUUCUGCUUCAUGGCAAGAUUUGAAGGAUCAUAUGCGCCGAGCAGGGGAUGUCUGUUUCUCCCAAGUGUUUCGUGAGGGUGGAGGCACAACUGGGAUUGUGGAUUACACAAACUAUGACGACAUGAAGUAUGCCAUCAGAAAACUCGAUGACUCUGAGUUCAGAAAUGCUUUCUCCAAAGCCUACAUUCGGGUCAAGGAGUAUGAUUCCAAGAGGAGCUUAUCAAGGAGCCGCAGCCGUAGCCGAUCUGACUCGAGGAGCAGAAGCCCCAAGCGUAGUCGCUGCAAAACCCGAAGCAGGAGCAAAAGCAAAUCUCCAAAGCCCAAAUCUUCUCGUCGAUCUGUAUCUAGGUCCAGAUCUAGAUCCAGAUCUGUUUCUUCACGGUCACGCUCGGGAUCAAAGCAUCGCUCGCUCUCAAGAUUUGGCUUAAUGCGGCGAUUGGGGAUUGCACAUUAGGGGCUUGAUGGGAUGUGGUGCAAAAUGCCUGCAACUCUUUUGUUUGUGGUGGUUUAGUGGACAGCUUGGGAAACCUCAAUGGCAUAUUAAUUUUAAUGUUGUGCAACUUGAAGCUUAAGUGGGACAUGAAAGAUGAUGGUAUUUUAGAGAUGGCUUAAGUAAUUGGAUAUAUGGACGCACCAUGAAUCAGCUGUAGGAAUAGAAUUCAAAUUCCCUUUUUUUCUUGGAAUCUGCACAGGCUUAAUAGGAUUGCGCCCAGGAAUUCCUUGGACCUCCAUGAGGCGUCGAGGAUUUUGGAUCAAAGGUGUUUUGGAAACGUUGUGGAUAUUGAAUUGGGUUGUUUCUGGAACUUUUUGCAGAUCCCGUUCGAGGUCCAAGUCGCCAGUACUCUCUCCUCGCGGCAAACAUGUGAGUAAAAGCCCUAAAAAGCGGAGUCCCAGUCGUAGCAAGAGUCCAAUCAAGAGCAAGAGUCGAAGCCUUAGCCCUAGCUAAAACUAAUAUCAG